CAUCUAUGAAAUCGUUCAAGUACUUAUCCGAUACUGGGCGUAAGCGCGCGUAGGUGGUUCAGCAAGUUGGAUGUGAAAUCCCCGGGCUCAACCUGGGAACUGCAUCCAAAACUACUGAGCUAGAGUACGGUAGAGGGUGGUGGAAUUUCCUGUGUAGCGGUGAAAUGCGUAGAUAUAGGAAGGAACACCAGUGGCGAAGGCGACCACCUGGACUGAUACUGACACUGAGGUGCGAAAGCGUGGGGAGCAAACAGGAUUAGAUACCCCCGUAGUCCA
Molecule: ribosomal RNA, 276 nt
Filed under: Pseudomonas aeruginosa
Lineage: Bacteria; Pseudomonadati; Pseudomonadota; Gammaproteobacteria; Pseudomonadales; Pseudomonadaceae
Description: partial 16S ribosomal RNA
Rfam family: Bacterial small subunit ribosomal RNA (bases 32-276)
Source: RNAcentral